This 497-nucleotide ribosomal RNA is filed under the name uncultured bacterium. Its description in RNAcentral is "partial 16S ribosomal RNA". It matches the Rfam family "Bacterial small subunit ribosomal RNA", at positions 28 to 507 of the family's 1533-position model. The record is from RNAcentral.
GAUGAACGCUGGCGGCGUGCCUAAUACAUGCAAGUCGAGCGAACAGAUGAGGAGCUUGCUCCUCUGACGUUAGCGGCGGACGGGUGAGUAACACGUGGAUAACCUACCUAUAAGACUGGGAUAACUUCGGGAAACCGGAGCUAAUACCGGAUAAUAUAUUGAACCGCAUGGUUCAAUAGUGAAAGACGGUUUUGCUGUCACUUAUAGAUGGAUCCGCGCCGCAUUAGCUAGUUGGUAAGGUAACGGCUUACCAAGGCAACGAUGCGUAGCCGACCUGAGAGGGUGAUCGGCCACCCUGGAACUGAGACACGGUCCAGACUCCUACGGGAGGCAGCAGUAGGGAAUCUUCCGCAAUGGGCGAAAGCCUGACGAAGCAACGCCGCGUGAGUGAUGAAGGUCUUCGGAUCGUAAAACUCUGUUAUUAGGGAAGAACAAAUGUGUAAGUAACUAUGCACGUCUUGACGGUACCUAAUCAGAAAGCCACGGCUAACUACGUG